GAGUUUGAUCAUGGCUCAGAACGAACGCUGGCGGCAGGCUUAACACAUGCAAGUCGUACGAGAACGUCUCGCUUCGGCGAGGCUAGUAAAGUGGCGCACGGGUGAGUAACGCGUGGGUAAUCUACCCUUGGUACGGGAUAACGUCUCGAAAGGGGCGCUAAUACCGUAUAAGACCACAGCAACCCCGGUUGCAGAGGUAAAAGCGGGCCUCUACAUGUAAGCUCGCGCCUGAGGAUGAGCCCGCGUCCCAUUAGCUUGUUGGUGAGGUAACGGCUCACCAAGGCCGCGAUGGGUAGCUGGUCUGAGAGGAUGAUCAGCCACACUGGGACUGGAACACGGCCCAGACUCCUACGGGAGGCAGCAGUGAGGAGUCUUGCGCAAUGGGGGAAACCCUGACGCAGCCAUGCCGCGUGGGUGAAGAAGGCCUCGGUCGUAACG
RNAcentral lists this ribosomal RNA (438 nucleotides) under uncultured microorganism. RNAcentral describes it as "bacterial SSU rRNA". It matches the Rfam family "Bacterial small subunit ribosomal RNA", at positions 9 to 430 of the family's 1533-position model. The record is from RNAcentral.